CUAAAUUCCUACCAUAGAUUUUUGUGGUACCUGGUUUUGAUUUUAUUCAAACUUAUGGUAGUUUUUCUUGUUGAGCAGAGAAGAAGUGGGAUCAAUGAAAAAAUGAAGGCCUUGCAACAUCUAAUUCCGAAUUCUAUCAAGGGCUGAUGUGAUCCAACGUAAGUUUGACUUGGAGCAAAAGAGAUUAGAUGAGGAUGCUUUUGUUUAUAAUUCACUUCAACAGCCGCUUAAAUUCUCACCAGCAUACCAGAAGAUGCUUGAAGUUGGGGCUUGCAUGGACAAGGCGAAAUUCCGUCAACUGGUAGAAAACAGAGACGACAAAUUUGCUAAUAUUUCUUUUGAAGAAUUAUUAGCACAAGAAAAGAAGGAUUCAUUCUC
Long non-coding RNA from Arachis ipaensis, 378 nucleotides. RefSeq lists it as uncharacterized. NCBI's taxonomy places the organism in Eukaryota, Viridiplantae, Streptophyta, Magnoliopsida, Fabales, Fabaceae. The record is from RefSeq and is a predicted model, not a curated record.